This 151-nucleotide ribosomal RNA is filed under the name uncultured archaeon. RNAcentral describes it as "partial 16S ribosomal RNA". It matches the Rfam family "Archaeal small subunit ribosomal RNA", at positions 322 to 474 of the family's 1478-position model. The record is from RNAcentral.
CCUACGGGGGGCAGCAGGCGCGAAAACCGCACAAUGCUGGAAACAGCGAUGCGGGAAUUCCAAGUGCCGGCACAAAGUGUCGGCUGUUCCAUUGUCUAAAAAACAUAGGAAGUAAGGGCUGGGUAAGACGGGUGCCAGCCGCCGCGGUAAA